Acanthaster planci (crown-of-thorns starfish) is the source of this 783-nucleotide long non-coding RNA. NCBI's taxonomy places the organism in Eukaryota, Metazoa, Echinodermata, Asteroidea, Valvatida, Acanthasteridae. The record is from RefSeq and is a predicted model, not a curated record.
CUGUGCAACGGUGAACAUCGUCUUCCAGUCUCCAACAGUUCCUGAAAAUGCAAGAGGAUACAGCAGCAGAACACAAGAGUAGACUUAGCUUGACGUCUUGAUUAAGCUAAUGUCCAACUAUCAGUACGGAACACAUCGGAUCUCCGGAUGAGUACUCGGCCUCAAACCUGGUGGCUUCUUGUCUCCACGACAAGAAGAGCAGUGACGAGGGAACAUGAGUGUAACUACUUUCAAGUAAAUCCAGGUACUGGAGCAUGCAUUGAUAUUGACUGUGACAGUGAUUUUGUUGGAGAUUGCCUCACAAAAUCAAGGUACGAUGACGGGCAAACGGGCGUCAGCCACGCUUCCAUGCAUGCUAUAGGUGCUACAUUUGGGGCUUACCCUGGUGUUGGAACUCUUGCCUUGGAAGGAGUGGAUCAAUUUUGUAUGCUUUUAACACUGUAUUCAUAUUUGCUCAGAGUACAUGCAGCAAACCGUGGUUCGAUAUGGGCUCUCUAAACCGCUAAAAAUGUGUGUUCUCGGCUUUCUUUGAUUGUACGUAAGCCAAAGACCGGGAGAGGCGUAGAGGAGGACGAAGCCAUGGGACUGGAACCAGAGACACAUAACAACAGCGUUUGCAGACAACUAGAUUAACUUUUUCCAUGUAUCUCUGAGGUCAUCUUAAUGCAGAAAUCUGUAGGAUAAACAGUGUGUACUUGCUAUAAGCUGACGGCAGAAGGUCCCAACGACUGAUGUACGGAUUUGUUGUCUAGGCCAGGACGUCUCUGCAGUGAACUGUAUGCG